AGAGUUUGAUCCUGGCUCAGAGCGAACGCUGGCGGCAGGCCUAACACAUGCAAGUCGAGCGGCCGUAGCAAUACGGCAGCGGCAGACGGGAGAGUAACACGUGGGAACGCGCCCUUCGGUUCGGGAUAACUCAGGGAAACUUGGGCUAAUACCGGAUACGCCCUUACGGGGAAAGAUUUAUUGCCGAAGGAACGGCCCGCGUCCGAUUAGCUUGUUGGUGAGGUAACGGCUCACCAAGGCGACGAUCGGUAGCUGGUCUGAGAGGACGACCAGCCUCACUGGGACUGAGACACGGCCCAGACUCCUACGGGAGGCAGCAGUGGGGAAUUUUGACA
Molecule: ribosomal RNA, 335 nt
Filed under: uncultured soil bacterium
Lineage: Bacteria
Description: bacterial SSU rRNA
Rfam family: Bacterial small subunit ribosomal RNA
Source: RNAcentral